GACGAACCGAGCGAACGUUGUUCGGAAUCACUGGGCUUAAAGGGCGCGUAGGCGGGUGCUCAAGUCCGGGGUGAAAUCCUCCAGCUCAACUUGAGAACUGCCUCGGAUACUGGGUGUCUCGAGUGUGGUAGGGGUAUGCGUAACUAUCGGUGGAGCGGUGAAAUACGUUGAUAUCGAUAGGAACUCCGGUGGCGAAGGCGGCAUACUGGACCACUACUGACGCUGAUGCGCGAAAGCCAGGGGAGCAAACGGG
Molecule: ribosomal RNA, 253 nt
Filed under: uncultured bacterium
Lineage: Bacteria
Description: partial 16S ribosomal RNA
Rfam family: Bacterial small subunit ribosomal RNA
Source: RNAcentral